AUACGGAGGGUGCAAGCGUUGUUCGGAUUUAUUGGGCGUAAAGCGCGUGUAGGCGGUUUUUUAAGUCUGAUGUGAAAGCCCCGGGCUCAACCUGGGAAGUGCAUUGGAUACUGGAAGACUUGAGUACGGGAGAGGGUAGUGGAACUCCUAGUGUAGGAGUGAAAUCCGUAGAUAUUAGGAGGAACACCGGUGGCGAAGGCGGCUGCCUGGACCGAUACUGACGCUGAGACGCGAAAGCGUGGGGAGC
RNAcentral lists this ribosomal RNA (247 nucleotides) under uncultured bacterium. RNAcentral's name for it is "partial 16S ribosomal RNA". It matches the Rfam family "Bacterial small subunit ribosomal RNA", at positions 523 to 769 of the family's 1533-position model. The record is from RNAcentral.